CAGUCCCCGCUGACAAUGCUAACUAACAACAGUAGCUUUGAAGCUGCUUUACAGCAAUAUGCACAGCAAAACAACACAUACGAUAAGCAGAGGAACAACACUUUUGGAAACGGUGUGAUUUAUCUAGCUUAGCUAGCUGCUUUUACAUGUGUGAACGUCAACAUUUGUGGGAAAUGAACCAACUUUUCCUUUCUUUUCCAGUGUCCCAGCCCACAUGAACUGAAAAACAAAAGUCCCCAGUGAAAUUAGUAAAAAAAACUUUUUUUUUUAACUAUUAAAAGUUGGAAAUGCGUCUGUAUUAGCAAUACACGAAAACCUAAAUGUUUUUUCAUAAACUAUUUAAAGCCAUUAUUAGGCCUACCUGUGACCCCGGAAGUACUUAUUUAUAUAUUUAAUUGUUUACAAUUUUCGUUAUGACACCGCACGGCUAGAAAUCAACACCACAAGUGAAAAUGAGUGGUACAAACCGAAGGACUAACCUUUUGCAUUAGUACCGCAAAAGGUUAGUCAAUAACGAGUAAUGUAAGUUUGUUGGGCUGGCGAAAAACAACCUCAAACCGCAGCGCAGCAUUCACAGGCUAGAGUCGGAAGGUGAAUUACAUAACUUUGCCACCCCCUAUGCCCCGUAACUCUCAGCGGGGUGAAUUUGGUCAAGGCUCCACAACUGACAGUGAGCUGAGACAUAUUGACGAAGCUGCUGCUGAUGAAGAUAAUUAUGUUUUAAUUGUAGUUACUGUUUACAAGGCUGAUAAGUUAGCUAUGGACAACAACGUAUACCAAAUAUUGAGAACACUAAUCGCCUCACAGGGACAACCUCAAGUAGAACAACAUAUUACAAUGACUUCCCAAGCCUUGACAGCUCAUCAGCAAAGAGCGCUCAGUCACUGCACUAUGGAGGUCCAGGCACAUCUUCUUCUUCACUCCUCAGGUGUUGGUGAACGACCUGUCUCGAGACACCUGCCCCACGCUGCUGGUCAGGUGUGUGGAGAUUGACAAGGCUAGGGAAUCACGCCUAUUGCCAGGUUCCGGGUCCCUGGAAGUGAGAAUGCAUGUGAUGAUAUUUUCGUCAUUCCACGAGAGCAUGCAGGAGAUCGCUGCCAUGUUGAACCACCAUCUGCCCUGGUGAAGCUCAUGACCUUUAUGGGCCUCGGCAGGAUACCUCCAGAAGGAGCAGCUGGAGGUUGAAAGCAGCAUACCCCUCCACCGGUGACCAGCCAAUCAUGGACAUGGAUUGUGACUUUAUCAUGCUUAACAAUAAGAGUGACAGCUCAAAGGUCCAAUCCCCAACCAAGGAGAAGAAGGUGUUGGUUACCAAACCAGCACGCGCCAUUGCUGCUGCAGAACAAAUCUAUCUCAACCAGGUUGGCCUCAACUGCUGAACAUGAGCCCAAGUCAGAGGAACUGGAGGCUAUGUCUUACUUGCCCAAGUGUUGCCCAAGUGUGUUGCUGACCGCAAAUUGCGACCCUGAAUCAGAGGACCGAGUGCCUAAGUGUAAUUUUAGCCAACGUGACAGAGCUUUUGUCCAAGUUUCCUCCAUCCUUGCACCCUGACCCGGGCAGUUCUCUGUAUGACCCCUGGCCUAGACCCACCACUGUCACCACCAUAAAGGACUGUUCACUUACACCUGAACCACUGGUUGAAUCGCUGGAUGAACCACUGGAUGAGGGUCAGCCAUUCCUGGUGAAUUUCUCCAUAGAAAUGGAUAAGGACUUUCCCUAUCCUGCUUCUCAAUCUCCCAAUGUUGAUGCAAACAUUGGUUCUCCAUACUGUGAAAGUCAUUGUGAAGAUCACAAACCUCCUCAGAAGCAACAAUCCCCUUCUUCACCCAUUACUGUGCUGGCAUGGGGUAGUGGCAGUGCCAUUGGCAGCCCUAGUUGAGAUGAGGUCUUUGAGGAUGACGACAAUGACAUGAGGGAUGAUGAUAUGGACGACAAAGCAGACUUUGAGACGCCAUGACAUCCACUCAACUUAAAGCCCAACACUUUAAAACUAGCCUGGCACGAGAGCAUUGACCUGUUUGGAGAUGACAAGGCCUUCCUCCAGAUGACCAUCCCAGACAUCCCUAAACCAGGGAACAUCACUGUCCAGACAGCUAGCCCCAGAACGUGUUCAGAGAGGAAUGAGUCAAUAGUGUCAAGUGAAAGUUUUACAGAAACAAAUAUGUGGGACCAGGUAAAACCAGUAGCGCUGCAGGAGUCUGCUCAGGUGACUUGGCUGAAAAUCUCUGGCUCGUUCACUCCCUCCUUUAGUUUCCAGAGGAAGAGCAUGUUCACACCCCUGGCAGCCGAUCCAGAAGGGAAGAGGACGAAGAUCUCGGCUCUGACUUCACCUUUGACCUCCAAGUGUGGAGCUCUGUUCUCACCAAUCCUAACAUUGAGAAUGAGGUUGUGGGUCAUCCAGUUGGACAACAACUCCAAACACAUCAAAAGCACCCUGGAAAGGUUCAAGAAGAAACGUUCUGGAGUGUUCUGGAGUGGCCAGUGAAGAGUCCAGAUCUGAAUCACAUCCAUAACCUAUGGAAAGGGCUGAAAAAAGCAGUUGCGUCGUGCCUAAGAACAGCCCAUAGCCGUGGUAUAUUGGCCAUAUAACACACCCCCUCGUGGCUUAUUGCUCAAUGAUACCAUACUGAGUCAGAAUAUUGAGAGGUGUAAUAUAAUCUACAUGUAUAAACCUUGAACCAUAGUCUGUCUCCUAGCUACCUGUUGUCGGCAUGGCAACAUGCUCGCAGACUGCUUGUAUAAUAUCGAUUUUAUUUUCAUUUCCCAUUCAGACUGGCCUCUUUUAGGACAGCACCUGUUUUCUCUGAGACACCUCAGGUCAGUCAGGAAAGCCACGUGUUUGAUGAACCAUUUAUAAGAAAAGAUUACAAUACAUGCAAUAUAUGAUAGUCUUGGAGAUAGGCUCUGCUCCUUCGGCGUAGCUCACUGCCAGAGCAUGCAUCAUAAGAUAAGAUUAUAAUAAUAAUUAAAGGCAGAGAGCAAGGUAUGCUAUACCAAUCCCCCCGUAGGAACCAAACACAGAACCAAACAGGUGGCUGAUGGAAAAGCAGAAAACACCGAUAUGAUUGGCUCCCUAGAGGUGCAGCGGUCUAAGGCACUGCAUCUCAGUGCUAGAGGCAUCACUACAGACGCCCUGUUUCGAAUCCAGGCUGUAUCACAACCGGCUGUGAUUGGGAGUCCCAUAGGGUGGCGCACAUUUGGCCGGUGUAGGCCGUCAUUGUAAAUAAGAUUUUUAUUUCCCCCUAACUGUUCUUAACUGACUUGCCUAGUUCUAAAUAAAGGUUACCUGGUGACAUGGUGAGUAACACAUUACUGCCACAGCAUGGCAUCAAGAACACCAGGGAUGCCAUCAGAGUGUGUGCAGAGCCUAGUUCUAAAUAAAGGUUACCUGGCAACAUGGUGAGUAACACAUUACUGCCACAGCAUGGCAUCAAGAACACCAGGGCAGCCAUCAGAGUGUGUGCAGAGCCUAGCGGACUAAAUAGACCGCCAUGUUAACGUAGAGGGAUGAUCUAACUGGUGCAAUAUAAACUGAUGCUAUCAGCUGAUGCAUCACUCAGGUUUCCUGUCUGAACCAGCUGCGUUUGUUUUUUUGACAAACAAGACUAUUCAUCACACAAUUGUAUACAUGGCUUUGCCCAAGACAAAGAAAACCUGUGGAAAGUGCUUAAGGGUUCAGAAUGGUCAGAGUGGUCUUCUAACUAAAGAUUUAGACUUAUGUAGAAUACCAAUGAUACAAAUGCAAAAGUGUCUGAAAAAUAUUUAUUUGUUUGAGAGAUCAUCCCCUGUGUUACCGAAGGUUAACAUCUAUUCAAAUGAUGAUGAGGAUGAUUCUGUUGAUUCAUUGUUAUAUUUCCUCUCACAGUCAAUGCUCCUCAGUGAUGUCGAUUUUACCGGUAACAAGUUACCAGGAAGCUGAAGUAACAAGUUACCAGGAAGCUAAAGUAACAAGUUACCAGGAAGCUGAAGUAACAAGUUACCAGGAAGCUAAAGUAACACGUUACCAGGAAGCUGAAGUAACAAGUUACCAGGAAGCUAAAGUAACAAGUUACCAGGAAGCUGAAGUAACAAGUUACCAGGAAGCUGAAGUAACAAGUUACCAGGAAGCUAAAGUAACAAGUUACCAGGAAGCUGAAGUAACAAGUUACCAGGAAGCUAAAGUAACAAGUUACCAGGAAGCUGAAGUAACAAGUUACCAGGAAGCUGAAGUAACAAGUUACCAGGAAGUAACAAGUUACCAGGAAGCUGAAGUAACAAGUUACCAGGAAGUAACAAGUUACCAGGAAGCUGAAGUAACAAGUUACCAGGAAGCUGAAGUAACAAGUUACCAGGAAGUAACAAGUUACCAGGAAGCUGAAGUAACAAGUUACCGGGAAGCUAAAGUAACAAGUUACCAGGAAGCUAAAGUAACAAGUUACCAGGAAGUAACAAGUUACCAGGAAGCUAAAGUAACAAGUUACCAGGAAGCUGAAGUAACAAGUUACCAAGAAGCUAAAGUAACAAGUUACCAGGAAGCUGAAGCAUGCAGUGGCACACAUUGUUAGAUAAUUGCUUUCACCAUGUUAUGUGUUUGGUUCUCUUCACCUCAGAAUAAGGUGUGUGAACUUUAAUACCUCAAUUCUCUUUUACUCUUUUACAGUUCAAGCUAAGCAUCAAACAGUCAUUCCAAUGACUGUUGAACACGGUUUCUUCUGACCGUCAAAAUAAAGUUUACAUGGCUUUGACAAUGUCUUCCCAAUCUCUGUUCCAGUCAGAUGAUGUCCAACGAUGACUGUCCCUGCUCGGCUGCCUUCUCUGUUUGUUGACGCCCUAGUAGGGUGACCCUCUGCUCCAGCCUCUCUGACCUCUGUCUGUCUUUCGGAGGGUUCUGGAAACAGCAGGUAGAAGUAGUCAUAUAGUACAUGACUAGGAUAGUGUUCACUGAGCACGUAACAGAAGAAAAGCGUUUCUAGAACAGGGAGAUACUGUCUGACCUUGUUGAAUAAGAAAGCUCAGUUUCAUUUCCUGUUGUGCAACAUGGUGGCGAUGUAUUUUGUUUUGGUGUGCCUGACCCAGCACUCAAGCGUUUUGAUUUGGUCAAAGAGGCCACUGCUGGAUCAAGAGGCUUGGGCAUAACUGACACACAUACACUCAUUGUAUCUCCCUGUGUGACAGGUUCUGAGGUGCAGGAGGUUUACCUAAAGUCGUGGGAAGCCUUGCUGUGGCUGGCAAUUUCAAAACGGUCUACAAGCAAAACCACAACAUGGACGUCUUCUCUCAGGUACAGUUGUUUAUCAGGAUUUCAGUGGUUCCUAUUAAUCUUAGGGCCGGAUUCGCGGACAGAGGUUAAACUUGUCCUUGACUAAGAUGCACUUUCAAUGGAGCUGAUCAAAGAUGCACAAAGAAACAGAGGGGCGAGAAACGUCCCCAUCCACAUCGAGCUUCAAGUUCCUCGGUGUCCACAUUAGUAGUACGCGAGUCAGCUGUUUCUUCACCUGCACCCACCUGCAAUUGCUAAUAACCCAUCCUCAACCGCCCAACUAUGAAAGUGAUCAUUUGAGGCCUUGCAACCGACCCUGACACGCUUAUAUAGAAAAUGAGCUGUGGGCUACAGUUCCAGACGGCGGAACGAUUUUUUGACAGGGGGUACAGGACUUCUUUUUGCCUGAUUUAGAUAUGUUUAUGCUUAUAAUUUCCAACAUUUUGGAAGGCUAUUUGUUAGUCAAUUUACAUGUAACUUCUCUUCUUUUACUAUACAGAGCCUUAACUUUUUCCACAUUUUGUUAGGUUACAGCCUUAUUCUAAAAUGUUUUUAAAUCUUUAAAUCUACACGCAAUACCCCAUAAUAAAAAAUAAAAAACAUGUUUUGACAUUUUUGCUAAUUUAUAAAAAGAGAAAAAAAAGACAAUUACACAUACGUAUUCAGACCCUUUCCUUCAGUUUGUUGAAGCACCUUUGGCAGCAAUUACAGCCUUCAGUUUUCUUGGGUAUGACGCUAAGCGUGGCACACCUAUAUUUGGGGAGUUUCUCCCAUUCUUGAUUGGAUGGGGAGCGUUGCUGCACAGCUAUUUUCAGGUCUCUCCAGAGGUGUUCGAUCGGGUUCAGGUCUGGGCUCUAGAUGGGCCACUCAAGGACAUUUAGAGAUUUUUCCCAAAGCCACUCCUGCUUUGUCUUUGCUGUGUCCUUAGGGUUGUUGUCCUGUUGGAAGGAGAACCUUCACCCCAGUCUGAGGUCCUGAGUGCUCUGGAGCAGGUUUUCAUCUCGGAGCUCUACGGACAAUUCCUUCAACCUCAUGGCUUAGUUUUUGCUCUGACAUGCACUGUCAACUGUGGGACCUUUAUAUAGACAGGUGUGUCUUUCCAUAUCAUGUCCAAUCAAUUGAAUUUACCACAUGUGGACUCCAAUCAAGUUGUCAAUGGAAUGGAAUCAAUGGAAACAAGAUGCCCCUGAGCUUAUUUUCGAGUCUCAUGGCAAAGGGUCUGAAUACUUUUAUUUUGAAUACAUUUUCAAAAUUUGUCAUUAUUGGUUAUUAUGUGUAGAUUGCUGAGGAAUUUAUUUUAUUUAAUCAAUUUUAGAAUAAGGCUGUAACGUAACAAAAUGUGGAAAAGGUCAAGGGGCUGAAUACCUUCCCAAGGCACUGUAUGUUGACCUAGAAGACGAAAUAAACUGCUCACCAGAAUAAUGUCAUAAAGUGAUUCAAUCUAGUUGACAUCGUAAAGUAUUUUCUGUCAUCUCUGCUACUUUCACAGAGCAUUGACGUGUAGGGACCGGGGAUACAAUUCAAUAAUUUUAAAAAAAGUAGAAAGAUGUUCUUUGCAAAAUUGAAAACUGGUGAAAACAACCCAACAUAUUUCUGAUAAGAUUUCAGUUGGGCUUGAAUGCAUAUUUUAUGUGAUUGAAAUACUUUCAGUUUUCAGGAUGCUGAUAAAUAUAGCACCUCGCAUUCUCUCAAGAGGCUGAAAGAAAUAAAUCAUAUUUUUCGACUAGGGUUGGGCUGUAUCCAGAUUUUCAUACCGUCAUACCAGUUCUGUACUAUACCAGGCUAUACAAUAUAACCAAAUGUGCACCCAAGGGGAGCUAUUUAAACAACAAAAAAAAAUAUACAAAUAUUUGUUUCUUCUUUUUUUUUUAAACGGUAUUGAAAAUCAUCCCACCGGUAUACGGUAUAAAAGGUAUAUCGCCCAAGCCUUUUCUCCACUCCCUUUCCCUACAUUUGGUGAAUAAUUUUACUGCAAGAAAUGCUUAAUUCCAGAGGAGUUAUUAUUAAGGCUAUGUGAGAGGUUAUAGAUCUACAGUCAGUGUCCAUAUUUCAGUUUCCAUUUAAUCCAUCUGAACGGUAAGAUACAGUUCCUUUGACGUACCAUAGGCCUAUUUGAAGUCCCUGUCUUGUGACACUAGAAUUUCUAUAGCGCCUCACAAUCAUCACCAAAUCUUUCCCAAACAUUACUAUCAGGAAUCAAGGUAAGACCCAGAUGCAGACUGUCGAAGUAAAAAUGUUUAUUGUGGCAACAGGGGCAGGGAAGGACAGGUCAAGGCAGGCAGGGGUCGAAAAUCCAGGGUAAGGCAAAGGUACAGGACGGCAGGCGGACUCAGGGUCAGGGACAGGCAGAGUUCAGUAAUCCAGAGGUGGAGUAAAGGUACAGGACGGCAGGCAGACUCAGGGUCAGGCAGAGUUCAGUAAUCCAGAGGUGGAGCGAAGGUACAAGACGGCAGGCAGACUCAGGGUCAGGCAGAGUUCAGUAAUCCAGAGGUGGAGCGAAGGUACAGGACGGCAGGCAGACUCAGGGUCAGGCAGAGUUCAGUAAUCCAGAGGUGGAGCGAAGGUACAGGACGGCAGGCAGACUCAGGGUCAGGGUCAGGCAGAGUUCAGUAAUCCAGAGGUGGAGCAAAGGUACAGGACGGCAGGCAGACUCAGGGUCAGGCAGAGUUCAGUAAUCCAGAGGUGGAGCGAAGGUACAGGACGGCAGGCAGACUCAGGGUCAGGCAGAGUUCAGUAAUCCAGAGGUGGAGCGAAGGUACAGGACGGCAGGCAGACUCAGGGUCAGGCAGAGUUCAGUAAUCCAGAGGUGGAGCAAAGGUACAGGACGGCAGGCAGACUCAGGGUCAGGCAGAGUUCAGUAAUCCAGGGUAAGGAGAAGGUACAGGACGGCAGGCAGACUCAGGGUCAGGCAGAGUUCAGUAAUCCAGAGGUGGAGCGAAGGUACAGGACGGCAGGCAGACUCAGGGUCAGGCAGAGUUCAGUAAUCCAGAGGUGGAGCAAAGGUACAGGACGGCAGGCAGACUCAGGGUCAGGCAGAGUUCAGUAAUCCAGAGGUGGAGCAAAGGUACAGGACGGCAGGCAGACUCAGGGUCAGGCAGAGUUCAGUAAUCCAGAGGUGGAGCGAAG
Long non-coding RNA from Oncorhynchus keta (chum salmon), 8365 nucleotides. RefSeq lists it as uncharacterized. NCBI's taxonomy places the organism in Eukaryota, Metazoa, Chordata, Actinopteri, Salmoniformes, Salmonidae. The transcript has 6 exons. The record is from RefSeq and is a predicted model, not a curated record.